This 482-nucleotide ribosomal RNA is filed under the name uncultured bacterium. Its description in RNAcentral is "bacterial SSU rRNA". It matches the Rfam family "Bacterial small subunit ribosomal RNA", at positions 8 to 469 of the family's 1533-position model. The record is from RNAcentral.
AGAGUUUGAUCCUGGCUCAGAACAAACGCUGGCGGCGUGCCUAACACAUGCAAGUCGUACGAGAAAGUCCGCUUCGGUGGAUGAGUAAAGUGGCGCACGGGUGAGUAACGCGUGGAUAAUCUACCCUUUAGUCUGGAAUAACUUAUCGAAAGGUGAACUAAUACCGGAUAAUAUCCCGAUUUCUUCGGCGAUCGGGAUCAAAGAAGGCCUCUGCUUGCAAGCUUUCACUGAAGGAUGAGUCCGCGUACCAUUAGCUAGUUGGCAGGGUAAUGGCCUACCAAGGUUAUGAUGGUUAGCUGGUCUGAGAGGAUGAUCAGCCACACUGGAACUGAAACACGGUCCAGACUCCUACGGGAGGCAGCAGUGAGGAAUAUUGCGCAAUGGGGGCAACCCUGACGCAGCAACGCCGCGUGAGUGAGGAAGGUUUUCGGAUUGUAAAGCUCUGUCGAGCGGAAAGAAGUGCAUGGUGGUUAAUAUCCAUC